AUUGUUUCUCGGCCUUUUGGCUAAGAUCAAGUGUAGUAUCUGUUCAUAUUAUAAGGCUCUCUUCCUGAGCUCCAGCCUGAAAUGCUUCCCUUU
RNAcentral lists this small nuclear RNA (93 nucleotides) under Canis lupus familiaris (dog). RNAcentral describes it as "U2 spliceosomal RNA (multiple genes)". It matches the Rfam family "U2 spliceosomal RNA". From Rfam's summary of the family: U2 is a small nuclear RNA (snRNA) component of the spliceosome (involved in pre-mRNA splicing). Complementary binding between U2 snRNA (in an area lying towards the 5' end but 3' to hairpin I) and the branchpoint sequence (BPS) of the intron results the bulging out of an unpaired adenosine, on the BPS, which initiates a nucleophilic attack at the intronic 5' splice site, thus starting the first of two transesterification reactions that mediate splicing. RNAcentral also lists the same sequence under 1 other name. The record is from Rfam by way of RNAcentral. Lineage: Eukaryota; Metazoa; Chordata; Mammalia; Carnivora; Canidae.